Daucus carota subsp. sativus is the source of this 1846-nucleotide long non-coding RNA. RefSeq lists it as uncharacterized. NCBI's taxonomy places the organism in Eukaryota, Viridiplantae, Streptophyta, Magnoliopsida, Apiales, Apiaceae. The record is from RefSeq and is a predicted model, not a curated record. The transcript is spliced from 6 exons.
AUUCAUUACACCGUACUAACCCGAAGCUUAUGUUACAAGCUUAGGUUGUUUUCAUGUUUUGUUAAAGAUAUUUUACUAAUUUCAAAUUUGAAAACCCAGCCUCCUCCAUUGCUGAACUCCACCACGCCACAGACCUGUCUUCGUAAGAGGGAGUUUCUUCUGCAGCUCUGCGCAAGCCAUGAACCAGCAGGAUGAUGAUGAUCGUUCGCGGCGUUUAUUCACUUCUGAGAAUAUGAUACAAGGUUAUAUGCCUCUUAAAAAACGAAAAAGAGGCGCGAGGAUGCACAAGGAUGUUAGACCCCAUUAUCACUGAUGAUGGAGUUGAUUUCGUCUAUACCUGUCUAAUAACUUUGAUCUAUUUUCAGCGGCUGAACUUCGUCCGGAAUCUGUUUGAUGAUUUGCUCAAAAGAACAAGAUUGAUGAAUAUAUCAUUAUUCAAGUAACUUUUGUGUGCGACUAUGUUGAUGCUUUUAUGGACCAGUGCUACAAGUUCUUAUAUGUACAUGGAUCCAUGUAUUGAGUUAAGUAUUACUUCUGUGACUUAUUAUUGUUAUUAGCAGUCAUUCUGAUUUUAAUUUUUAAUAUUGUGUGGUGCUUGCAUUUGAUAUUUAAGUACCAAUGAUGUUUAUAUUGAAGUUUUGGCGUUGAAAAUUAUAAUGGGAAAGUAUUGUGGAGAGUUGAUAUAUUCUGUAUGAAAUAAAACAAUGUAGAGAUGUAUGCAGCAUAUUACAGAAGCAAAUGUAGUCCUCAUGUAACCAACUUUCGAAGCCUCUUCCCGCUUUAGAAAACAGAAACAAAGGAGAUGUAUGCAGCACAUAAAAUACAAAAGAUGACUUCCCAGGAUAGUUAAACAAGGGAAAUAAAUAAAUUAUCUUUCACAUUUCAGUAUGAUGCAGAUAAAUAACCUAUGUGAUGCAUAUUGACAAAGUGGUAUAUUAGAAAGUGUAAUUUAUUUCUAAUUAAUUUAUGCAUCAACAGUUUCACACCAUAUAAUAUUUUUGUGGUUUACUAGAUAUAUAGGCACAAUAACUAGCAUUAGUGACCUGGAUUUUGUUUGAUGGCCAAACUCUCAUUGGCGUUGUGGUAAAGGUUUGUCCAUAUAAGGAGCAACUAUCACAGCAAGAAUACAUUCGAGGAAUCAGUGCUUGGAAUUUGAACUUGGAGGAUUUGAAGAACCAGGCUGCCCUGCUAUGCUGGUGGUUCAAGAUACUAUUAUCAACUCACCAUAAUUGGGCAAUAACCUUCUUGAAUGUGCCACGUUGUUUGUAGAUCCAGGACUAUGUUGCCAUAUUGAACAUACAAGGAUCCAGUAAAGUGGAAAACAAAAGGAUGUGUAUGAUGAAGUUGGUUUUGCUGUGGAUAAUCCACCUCCCGGAACAGUUAAUCAGCCAGAUGUUGCACCUCAUUACCAGGAUGGGCUCAGUGAUAUCCAUACUAUGGAAGAUUCACUUGCUGCAUUCCAAUGAAAUCUCUACAGGCCCUCAAGUACAGCUUUACCUCUCGCUCGAAGCCUCAAAAUUAUGAUACGCAGCAGCAAAGAGUCCUGUUGCUUGAGAUUCACUGUCUUAAAAACUACAGAGAUGCACGGCAAAAGUAUCCUGUGAAGUCCAAACUUUUACAAAAUAAACACGCCUUCAUUCAUCUCCUCUUACCGGAGAUUUCAGUAUAAAUGGCAAGUGGUGUAGGGCUCCAUGAUUCUGUGUUGUCCAGACACACCAAAAAAUUUGCCUAAACUUGAAUGAAGUUCUGUGCUAAAAGAAAAUGACCUCUGAAGAUGUAAGAUAUAGACAAGUUAGUUGGACUUUAGGCAAAAGACUUGGGAUUGUUAAUAUUAUUUUGUUAUUCA